GACGAACGCUGGCGGCGUGCUUAACACAUGCAAGUCGAACGGAAAGGCCCUGCUUUUGUGGGGUGCUCGAGUGGCGAACGGGGGAGUAACACGCGAGUAACCUGCCCCUGACUUUGGGAUAACUUCUGGAAACUGGGGCGCAUACCGGAUAUGAGCUCCUGCUGCAUGGUGGGGGUUGGAAAGUUUCGGCGGUUUGGGAUGGACUCGCGGCUUAUCAGCUUGUUGGUGGGGUAGUGGCGUACCAAGGCGUGGACGGGUAGCCGGCCUGAGAGGGUGACCGGCCACAUUGGGACUGAGAUACGGCCCAGACUCCUACGGGAGGCAGCAGUGGGGAAUAUUGCACAAUGGGCGGAAGCCUGAUGCAGCAACGCCGCGUGCGGGAUGACGGCCUUCGGGUUGUAAACCGCUUUCGCCUGUGACGAAGCGUGAGUGACGGUAAUGGGUAAAGAAGCACCGGCUAACUACGUG
This 468-nucleotide ribosomal RNA is filed under the name uncultured bacterium. Its description in RNAcentral is "partial 16S ribosomal RNA". It matches the Rfam family "Bacterial small subunit ribosomal RNA", at positions 28 to 507 of the family's 1533-position model. The record is from RNAcentral.